UUUGGUACUUAUUAGAGCAGUUCUGGCCAGACGUUGCAUGAAGAAAAGCUGCGUGGUUACCCAAGGGAUAACUCCUUCAACAGCUCACAGCUUACCUGCCUUUGCUGUCCUCAGAAAAGAAAGACCAGGAGGGCAAGAGAAGAAAGAACCUCCAAAGAAAAAAGGGGAAGGAGCUGCACUUGCUGAGUUUGGACAAUCUUCUGCCAGUAGGAGCAAGUCAAAAACUGCUUCUCUGUGGUGCUCAUCAGGGGAUUGUUCAUAAAGCUUGACCUGCGUUUCUUCCUGGGCCUUGGCAGAUCGUUUUUCUCCACUUGUCUUAUGAAAAGAUGAAGACUGCAGUCCUGGAGCUGGACGAGACUGUGCUGAGCACUAGCGCGGUGCAGAACUUGCUCAAGCUGCUGCCACAGGUGGUGAAGCUCAGAAAAAUGAGUAUGGCAGAGUAUGAGCAGUUUGGGGUUCUGGCAAGAAAAUAAAUGAAGAGCUAAGAGCUCCCUAUUUGUCUUCCCCAAGCACUUUGAGACGGUCUCAGCUGUCCUAUUUUUGAGACAUAGGAGAAAUCUGAUGUUUGAAAUGCAAAAGCAUCUGGUAAAACUCCAACAGGUGUCUGCUGAGAACUUGAAGAAAAGCUUAAACAUGACAAAAGAAGAGAGUCUGAAUGUGCAGUGUAACAUUCCGAACUUUCCAGCCAACACGGGAAGCUGUCACGGAGAAUCCAAAGCGGCAUGAAACAGAUGAUACACCGUGCAACGCUGGCGAAGGAGGAGGCAGAGAAGAAAGGCCAGGAGUGACAGGAGCAGGGAACAGCUGGUAGACACGGAUGCAGGUGGCUAACAGGGCUGGAAUGAUGGAUGUUUUACAGGAAGCUUUGUAGUCCAGCAGCCUGUCCUGACGGAGCAAGGGAGCGUGGCGGGGGAGGUGCUGCUCACCAGGUUGUGUCACCCCGCACUUCUUCCCGCAGGGAGCUCCAGGGCUGAACCAAGCAGGACCCACAAAGCUGGGGAGAAGACAAGAGAUGGACACAUCCUUCAGGAAGCCAUGGAGGUCAUCAGCUACUCAAGCUAGACGUUGCGCCUGGACAAAGGCAGAAACUGCUGGACCUGUGAGAGCUUUCAGUAAGUAAAAUGGUUUAAUUACAGGAUCUCUGUAUGGCUAUGAAGGGUAAUUUAUUAUUCUUCUCACUCUUGGGGGUGUUUGUGCUAGUUUUGUGUCAUUCUAGCUCUCCUGUCCAAUAUUUGGUCUGUCUCUGUAGGCAACUGAAGGGUCAAAAGCUUCAGCCAAGGGGAGGGACAUGGUCUGCAGUUCCUGUGGUGGAGCAGACUGGGCAGAAAGGCCACAGCCCUUCCUACACAUAGCUCAGUGUUGGGGUGCCAAAGCGGGGACCCCAGGUCUCAUCUUGCAGGGUGCUGGCUCUUGGUGCAAUAGUUUACAGUGGGAACGGCUCUGCCCCAGCUUGUGGCUUCCAGGCGUUAAGUUGUUUUCUCGUUCUAAUUUAACAUAUUUGUAACGUUGGUGUAAUGGAGCAAUCCAUAACAGCCCAGCAUCAUCUGGCACCGGCGCAUAGCUUGGCUGCUGUCACAGCCCUGCAGGAGGAGGCAGGGUGAUCCCAGCCCAGGUAGGAGCUGGGGGUACCAGGAGGGUGGAGAAGGAAAUAGGGGGGCUGGGAAUGCUCUCAGAGAGAAGGCAGGAUGACACCCUCCGAUGGGGGAGAGCCACCCAAGGAGGGAUGAGCCAGCACAGGCAGUACAGCAGUGUCUGGGGUCUUGCAGCAUGGCUGGGGUCACCCAGCACAAGGCAGGCUCUUUUCUGCAGGAGCCUGUGCCUACCCAUGUGCUGCUGGGAGCACUGGUCCCUCCUGGGGUCAUGCUGAGCCUUUGCAGCUUUUACUUUUAAUGUACUUUUAUGUUCAAUAACAAUACAAUUCCAUUUUUCAUAGCAUUUCGAGUGUUCCUGGGGCAUGUUAUCACAUCACGGAUUGGCAGGGCUGACAGAAAGCUGGGAGAGCCAAGAAGAGCUUGUGCCCCUGUGCCAGGUCAGCCCAGCAGCCCCGUGUGGCACGUGGCACGGCCACCGGUCCCCUCACAGCGGCGGCUGCACUCGGCGGGGCUCUUUGUGCGGGGCACGAUGCCUGCUCCCUGCUUCAAAUGUGCUUGGUGUCUAUUAUCUCGCUCCCAUCCCAGGUGCUCGGCUCCGGCAUGCAAACCCAGCCGUGCAUGAACCGGAGAGAAUAACAGCGAGCGAGCGGCUGCAGAUGGGCCCUUGGGAAGAGGUCGGUACGUGCUUGCGCGCGAGAGCUUUGUGCUUGAAAGAGAAAAACGCUGCUUGUAGGAGGGGAGAGGAGUUGUUCUUGUUUGGCCUCAGGCAGGAUGGUCAGGCAGGAUGGUGCUGGCGGUGGUCCAGGCACUCCCCACACACACACCUGGGUGACCAGGAGCCCACUACAAGCAAGGCUUAUCAUAGAAGGGUUUGGGUUGGAAGGGACCUUGAAGAUCAUCUUGUUCCAACCCCCCUGCCAUGGGGGGUUGGAACCCGCCUCCCGUUAGAACACCUCCCAUUAGAAUCAUAGAAUAUGUCAGGUUGGAAGGGACCUCUAAAGGCCACCUAGUCCAACCCCCCUGCAGUGAGCAGGGACAUCUUCAACUAGAUCAGGUUGCUCAGAGCCUCAUCCAGCCUGGCCUUGGAUGUCUCCAGGGAUGGGGCCUCCACCACCUCUCUGGGCAACCUGGGCCAGUGUCUCACCACCCUCAGUGUAAAGAACUUCUUCCUAAUGGCUAAUCUAAACCCGCCCUGCUCUAGUUUAUAACCAUUGCCCCUCGUCCUGUCGCUACAUGCCCUUGCCAACAGCCCCUCCCCAGCUUUCCUGUAGACCCCCUUCAGGGACUGGAAGGGGCUCUGAGGUCUCCCCAGAGCCUUCUCUUCUCCAGGCUGAACAACCCCAUUAGACUAGGUUGACUCCUUCCCCUGCCACCCGCCGGCCCCUUGUCCCGGGGAAGGGAUGAGGGAGUCAAAAAAGGGCAGGUAGGACAAUUCAGGCAUCAGUCCCUCUGCCUCAUCGAUACCGAGGGCAUCACGGGGCUUCUUGCAGGGCUGGGAGCUGCGUUACCCUCGGUCAGGGUGGUGGUGGGCUCUGCACGCACACGGAGGAGUUGUCUUUGUGCAGCCAAAUGCCCAUGGCUGCUGCUUUUAGCAUCCCCGGAAAGCUGCAAAAUGAAAGAGAAAUGGGGAUACGUGAGUUGCACCCAAGCCAGCCUGGAGCCUUGCCUGAGAGCUUUUAUUUUAUGAUAAUGGUUCCUUUGAUUUAAAGCCUUUUUUCAUGGCUUCGCAGCUGUGGGCAAGUGACGCUCUGGUAGCAUCGUGUUACCAUGGCAGUUUUUAUGCACAAAAG
Chroicocephalus ridibundus (black-headed gull) is the source of this 3382-nucleotide long non-coding RNA. RefSeq lists it as uncharacterized. The record is from RefSeq and is a predicted model, not a curated record. The transcript has 7 exons. NCBI's taxonomy places the organism in Eukaryota, Metazoa, Chordata, Aves, Charadriiformes, Laridae.